GACGAACGCUGGCGGCGCGCUUAACACAUGCAAGUCGAACGGAAAGGCCUGCUUUCCCUUGUGGAUUGCGGGUACUCGAGUGGCGAACGGGUGAGUAACACGUGAGUGAUCUGCCCCCAACUUGGGUAUAAGCCUGGGAAACUGGGUCUAAUUCCCGAUAGGACUGCAGGGUGGUGCCUGUGGUGGAAAACGAUUUUCUAGUGGUUGGGGAUGAGCUCGCGGCCUAUCAGCUUGUUGGUGGGGUAAUGGCCUACCAAGGCGGCGACGGGUAGCCGGCCUGAGAGGGUGGACGGCCACAUUGGGACUGAGAUACGGCCCAGACUCCUACGGGAGGUAGCAGUGGGGAAUAUUGCACAAUGGGCGGAAGCCUGAUGCAGCGACGCCGCGGGGGGGAUGACGGCCUUCGGGUUGUAAACUCCUUUCGACCGCGAGGAAGCCACCUGGUUGGAAGGGUGGUGACGGUAGUGGUAGAAGAAGCACCGGCUAACUACGUG
Molecule: ribosomal RNA, 494 nt
Filed under: uncultured bacterium
Lineage: Bacteria
Description: partial 16S ribosomal RNA
Rfam family: Bacterial small subunit ribosomal RNA
Source: RNAcentral